Molecule: ribosomal RNA, 497 nt
Filed under: uncultured bacterium
Lineage: Bacteria
Description: partial 16S ribosomal RNA
Rfam family: Bacterial small subunit ribosomal RNA
Source: RNAcentral
GAUGAACGCUGGCGGCGUGCCUAAUACAUGCAAGUCGAGCGAACGGACGAGAAGCUUGCUUCUCUGAUGUUAGCGGCGGACGGGUGAGUAACACGUGGAUAACCUACCUAUAAGACUGGGAUAACUUCGGGAAACCGGAGCUAAUACCGGAUGAUAUUUUGAACCGCAUGGUUCAAAAGUGAAAGACGGUCUUGCUGUCACUUAUAGAUGGAUCCGCGCUGCAUUAGCUAGUUGGUAAGGUAACGGCUUACCAAGGCUACGAUGCAUAGCCGACCUGAGAGGGUGAUCGGCCACACUGGAACUGAGACACGGUCCAGACUCCUACGGGAGGCAGCAGUAGGGAAUCUUCCGCAAUGGGCGAAAGCCUGACGGAGCAACGCCGCGUGAGUGAUGAAGGUCUUCGGAUCGUAAAACUCUGUUAUGAGGGAAGAACAUAUGUGUAAGUAACUGUGCACAUCUUGACGGUACCUAAUCAGAAAGCCACGGCUAACUACGUG